AAAAGCUCAAAUUUGAAAUCUGGCACUUUCAGUGUCCGAGUUGUAAUUUGAAGAAGGUAACUUUGGAGUUGGCCCUUGUCUAUGUUCCUUGGAACAGGACGUCACAGAGGGUGAGAAUCCCGUGCGAUGAGGUGUCCAAUUCUAUGUAAAGUGCUUUCGAAGAGUCGAGUUGUUUGGGAAUGCAGCUCUAAGUGGGUGGUAAAUUCCAUCUAAAGCUAAAUAUUGGCGAGAGACCGAUAGCGAACAAGUACAGUGAUGGAAAGAUGAAAAGAACUUUGAAAAGAGAGUGAAAAAGUACGUGAAAUUGUUGAAAGGGAAGGGCUUGAGAUCAGACUCGGUAUUUUGCAAGCCUAUCCUUCGUGGAGAGGUUUAUUAGCAGCUUACCGGGCCAGCAUCGGUUUGGAUGGUAGGAUAAUGGCAUUGGAAUGUGGCUCCUCGGAGUGUUAUAGCCUUUGUUGAUACUGCCUAUCUAGACCGAGGACUGCGUCUUUGACUAGGAUGCUGGCGUAAUGAUCUUAAGCCGCCCGUCUUGAA
The sequence is a ribosomal RNA, 534 nucleotides long. It matches the Rfam family "Eukaryotic large subunit ribosomal RNA", at positions 103 to 658 of the family's 3401-position model.